UCCUACGGGAGGCAGCAGUUAAGAAUCUUGCGCAAUGGGGGAAACCCUGACGCAGCGACGCCGCGUGGACGAUGAAGGCCUUCGGGUUGUAAAGUCCAAUAAGCGGGGAAGAAUAAGCAACGGGUAAUAUUCGUUGUGAUGACGGUACCUGCCUAAAGCCCCGGCUAACUACGUGCCAGCAGCCGCGGUAAUACGUAUGGGGCUAGCGUUGUUCGGAAUUAUUGGGCGUAAAGGGCGUCUAGGCGGGGAAUUAAGUUAGGUGUGAAAUCCCUGGGCUCAACCCAGGAACUGCAUCUAAAACUGGUUCUCUUGAGUUCGGGAGAGGAGAGCGGAAUUCCCGGUGUAGCGGUGAAAUGCGUAGAUAUCGGGAAGAACACCAGUGGCGAAGGCGGCUCUCUGGCCUAGAACUGACGCUGAAGCGCGAAAGCGUGGGGAGCGAACGGGAUUAGAUACCCCGGUAGUCCU
RNAcentral lists this ribosomal RNA (465 nucleotides) under uncultured bacterium. RNAcentral's name for it is "bacterial SSU rRNA". It matches the Rfam family "Bacterial small subunit ribosomal RNA", at positions 337 to 797 of the family's 1533-position model. The record is from RNAcentral.